UGUCCACCGACCUAUCGUCUUUCAAACUGGGCAGGGUGUCGGAGCUGGCGUUUCUCUUCAGCUUCUUCUGCGAUUUUUUCGAGACGAUCGGGUGCACGGCGCCCUUGUAGGGUGGACGAUUUCGCCGACCGGUUUCACCGGGAAGAACGACAACUUGGACAGGUCCUCAGGAGGAGGCUGCAGAGGCUUCAUGCCGACACACAUGGAGCUCAGUCUUUUGGCCAGGAUGACCGGGUCUUCUGCUCCGUCAGGGUUUUCUCUUCCGUCGCCCGUGGUCCUGAUCGGGCCGCCAGGGAAAUGCAAUGAGCCUGACGGCUCCAUCGCAAAUCGCAACCUAGACACUUUUUGACAUUAUUUUAAGGUUUUAACAUAAGAGUAAACAAACCGUAACGGUGAAAAAUUGUUACAGAGUGGAAAUAAUAUGAAAAUUCAUCACAAGCUGUGGGUACCACGGCAAUGUUUACUAGUUGACCGUGACCUGCCCACGCCCACAUUCGUCUCACAGGGAUGCCAAUCCAUCUGUAUUAACAAAACAAGUUCUGAUUGGUGUGAGUUGGGUUUUCGUUAACUUGGGCAUUGUAUUUGAGUUAAAUUUAACACCAAAGAGGCAUCUUUUACUAUCGAAGCCGUGGUUGGUAGUUGAAGAGUCAAAAUUUAAUACAACAAUUCGAGAUUAAGCCCGGACAGUCCGUAAUUUCAACUCAGCCCUUACCCAUUAAAUUUGGUUUAUUUUCUUUAAAUUAAAAAUGCGUAGUUGAUGUGUUUAAUAUACUUAAAUUAUAUAAUAUAAAUGCUUAUAUUUUAAGGGAGUCAAAGACUGGACAUGAAAAUAAUCUCAGAAUCAAAACGGUGAAUUUCGAACACGGAUUCGAAUAUUCUCGCCGAGCAAAAAAGAAAAAUGAAAAAAUGAAAGGCAAUAAACUGAAUUCGGAACAAGAUUGAGCUUUAAAAAGAUGAUAAAUAAAUCAACUAACAUUUUCGUUAUACUUGAAUUAACCUUGUGAAUCACCAAGAAAUAGAGAAUUUGAGUAAAGAACAUACUUCGGAAAACUUAAACGAAGCUAGCUUAUAUGGUCACAUAAUAUGAGCUUCAAACGCAAUUUGGCAUCCCGCCGAAAUGAUUCUGGAACACAGGGCGACACUUCUUCCUGCAGCGAUCAACUCACACACUGCUGAUGUUUAUGAUAAAACGUGGUAUUUUAUUUCACUCAUAUAGCUUCUUUUGAACCUUUCCUAUGUGAUGAGUUAAAGUUGGAAAAAUUAGGUACAUCUUAGAUUAAAUCACCUGCUGAUUUUUUGCUGCACUAGAUCUGUCACAGUGACCAAACAUCAAAAGGCUGCUGAUUAAAAAUUGAAGAUGAGAUUUGACCAGAAGGGAAGGCAACAGCUUGGUCCCCGGCUAAGCUUCGAAGAUGAGAGAGGAGUAUAUAAUCAGUAAUUCAAAUAAGAAAUUAAUUUUUUGAAAUAAUGCUGUGUGGCAGGCUUUAAGAAUAAAGAUGGCCCGGUGCAGACCAUGGAUGCUCACCCCUUUACGACUGCAUCCUACCCUGAAAAAAAAGACUUGAAGUUGGUCCGAGAAUACACAUGACAAAGGUGGCUAAAUUUCCUUCAGAUGCAUGGUGGACAAAAUGCUUGAGGGAUGUAAAUACCAAAAACUAGCCUAAAGCACAAACAACUUUACUUUGAAAAUUGGUUCAAGAUGUGGAUUGAUACUGCAAAACCCUAAAUAAAAUGCUUGGUGCCAAAACAUAUUAUUAUUUAUUUUAUUUAUUUAUUAUUAUUUAUUUUGAGAAAACUGUCUGCAAAGUUAGCAAGCUUGCCAACUUUAACUUGCAGUAAAGAGUGUCUCGAUACUGGACACCUGAUUCUGUUUCAAAACAAUGAGUCUACCAAAAGACUGUCAUGCACUGUUGAAUAGAUCCUGCUGAGAGGAAUCGAAAUCUGCAAAGAAAAUGUGGCCAAGCAUUAAAUUUUGGAAAAAAAUUGAAUUUUUACUGUAGCACUAGAUUGCUCAAAAUUAUAGAGCAAACUUUUUAUCGAUUAACUGCUUUUUGCAACAAAAUUUUCAUUCGUCGUCUUGUAUCGAUCCACUUUAAAAAUCCCUAUGAGAUUGGAGUAUGAAUGUAUGACAUUAAAACUGAGAAUGUUUGGAGUGCAUUGUCUAUGUAUGAUUGUGUAUGUAUGUAUGUGCAAAUGUAGUGGUUUGAAAUGCACAAUAAACGGCUUUUCCUCACCUUGUUAUGAUUAUUGUUUCAAUAUUUUAUGUGUAUCAUCGCUGACGGGCUUCUUUUCCUUGCUUGACUCUUGGCUUCUUUCUUCAUUCACGACUGUAGUGGCGGGGAUGUAAACAAUGCCGACUCAAUUAUUACUGGUCGAUCAGCUGGUUCCGGUAUCAAAAUACUAAAACAAAGAGGAGACGGAACUGGACGGAACUUGCUUGCCUUGGCUUAAUCAGUCUGAAUUAUUUAAAUGUGUCCUAUUUUGCAAAACCUUAGAGGUGUAUUGCGUACCCCACUAACUUACUUGUCAAGGGAAAAUCCAAAUGUUUCUAUGCAUCACAAAACAAAAUGGAAGCGCAUGGACAUCGAACUGACACGUCGCACUAAAAAAUCCUGAACACGGCUCAAAUAGAUCCUCUGGCAAAGAGCUGCUGCAGCAAGUGUCCGUGAUGAUGUCGUCAGCGUCGGGUGUCCUGCAUUCCUCCUGCUGACGCUUCUGUUCGGCCAAGACGUUCUGGGAUUUGACAAAAAACGGCCAGCCGCAUCCGAAUUUGACCUCCCAAUCUAACCAAUCAUCGUAGUACUGAUCUGUCGACAUCGGCUCUUCCGACUCCUCGCUUGCGCUGCUCUCGUCCUCAGAUGAUGGCGAGAAAUCCGAGAAAUCGUACAUUGGACUUGGCGUUGAGCAGUUUCUUAUUCCUGCCAUAAAAUCCAGUCGAGUCGGAAGAUGCUCCUCUGCAUCAUAAUCAUCGUAUGACGAAAGCCAAAUAGUUGUUUGAUCUGGAAUAUCGUCGUAGUGAAUUGAUUCAAUCGAAUCAUGCAACGUAAUAGUUGGCACGGCAUCCAUCUUGAAAUUUGAAGUCAAUAGAAGCGAGGAAGGGUCGAUGUGCUAUGAUCGAACGCAAAUUUUACACUGAUAUAUACUCUUCCGGAGAUGCGCUAGCUCCAGUAGACACCAACGCGACAUCUUUCGGAAAAAAAUGUCAUCCCUGUCAAUAUUUAAAGUAUCAUAACUAAUUGGCCAGAGUGAAAGCCCGGGAAAUUCGGAUCGUAGACAGCCAGAUUAUCCACCUAAUGAGACGUUGCGCCUACACCGAGAAUGUUGCUUAACUUCGGUGAUCUAACCAGAACCGGUGUGUCCAACAUGCUACACCCUAAACAAGCAGUAAUUUGUAGGGCAGUGAAUUUUAGACGAUUGGCUUUUUUUUCUAAGCUUCAGAUCACUGUGGGACAAUCAAAUGAGUAUGUAUCAUGCAAUUUUAAGCUAUUUAAACCACACUUGAAACCGUCUAAAUUGCCAAAACUGUCUAAAAUGGUCUAAAACCGUCAAGGUUGGCAUGAAAAAUGUUCCAAAAACAAAUUUCCUCAUGCCGUGAAAAAUAUUCAUAGCAAAAUUUGAACUGUGAUAGGUCAAAACCCAGUGAAACGACACCAAGCUUGACAAUUUUAGGCAUAUUUUUCGCGAUCUGUGACCCUCAGGGCCAUAUGUCACGGUAAGAACCUGAGGGUCGGAAUCAACCUUUGGUGGAUCAAUUUCGAUCGCCACAGUGCUUUGAAGUAAACAGGACACGGAAAAUUGAUAUGUUAAAUGACGGGCAUAUUUUCUAAAUAAAGGUCAUGCUCGGGAGAGCGGGAUUUGAGCCGGUUUCCAAACUUCAAACUUUGAUUGCCGCGAAAAUGCCAUCCUGAAAUUUGUUUACUUGCACAGAAUUUCACGGGCUAAAAUUAAGAAAAAAUAUGGAAUAUGGAAUUUUGGGCCUCAAAAUCUGCGGAAUUUCUCCAUUUCCUAACAAGUACUUGAAUACAAUUUAUCAAAUAAAACCACUUCCAAAUCGACCAUUAUUUUAUAAUGAAACAACUCGAUUUAACUAAAAAACUACCUGUGAUUAUAUUUUUUAAUUAAUCGUCAAUCUAAAGCUAUCUGAAAAUGCGCUCUGAAAAAUUCAAUGUAUAUAUUACACAAUUUAAACAAAAAUUUGCAUGAAAUAUAGGAAAAAACGCGAAAGAAACAAUGAAAAAUCAAACCGUCUAAAUUGACAAAAACCGUCUAAAAACGAAUAAUUUGCUCUUAGAAACAGUUUAAAAAUAGUCGACUAUUUUGGCCAAAAAAUCGUCUCAAGUUCACUGCUCUAGUAAUUUGUUAAGAAAAUAUAAGUGGCACUUUGGAGAAAUUCUAUGAAUAUGACUCCUGAACAAAGCCAGAAUUCAACUUGUUAAAGCGUUGAUGCUGCCCCCCAUUUCGACUACACUGAUGCUGUGUUUUGUAACUUGAGCGCGGCGCAGAUCAAUAGGCUGCAAGAAGUAUUGCCAAAUCAUCUCAAAAGGUAUAUUUUCGGAGUGAAACGUGGGCAGCAACUUUCCACAUGGUAUACAAAUUUUCAAUUACUAAAUUAUAUACUGAUAGACGUAAACUACAUGACAUGUACUAAUUUUGCUUUAAAUUUUUUCCUGCAACUUAAAAAUUAUUCCUCAAAUGAAUCCAGUCAGUCAAAUGUAAGUUAUGUUAUCAAAUAAAUAAAAUUUCUCCUCAAGAUCAUAAUAA
Cloeon dipterum is the source of this 4761-nucleotide long non-coding RNA. RefSeq lists it as uncharacterized. The transcript is spliced from 5 exons. Lineage: Eukaryota; Metazoa; Arthropoda; Insecta; Ephemeroptera; Baetidae. The record is from RefSeq and is a predicted model, not a curated record.